RNAcentral lists this long non-coding RNA (1458 nucleotides) under Homo sapiens (human). RNAcentral describes it as "MIR4435-2 host gene". Lineage: Eukaryota; Metazoa; Chordata; Mammalia; Primates; Hominidae. The record is from RNAcentral.
GGUACCCUUGUGAGACACUGGAAAGCUGGUUUUACCGUGGCCCUAUGAAGAGGAAGACUGAAAUUUAGACAGUAAUACCUUUACUAGGAUUGGAAAAGAUUUGGUUAAUGACAGCCCUGUCAUUUCUAAAACCCAUUAUCACUGUAUGAGAGAUUCCUUUGCGCUGCAUCCUCGACAGUGCUUCCUAAGGCUCUGCCGACUUCCAGUUCUGGAACAAGAUGGUUAAACUCAUUUUUCCCUGCUCUGCUCCUCUAAAUACAACUAAGUACCUUGGAAACUAUUCAGCAGACAAUGAUAAAGGGCUCUGAAAGCUAGAAGAAAAGGUGUACUUGCAAGAAACCUCAGGACUUGAGUAACAGCAACAUGGCAGGCCAGAAAGCAGACCCAGGGAGGAUAGCACAUGUCUUCGGCUACACUGGUGAAGGCAUCGUGCCUGCUCCACAGCACAUUUUUAUUCAAGUCUUGGACGAGCCUGAGGAUGUCUACAAGUGGAAGAAAAGAAGCCACUGGAGCAGAAGGUGGGGAGGAUAAAAUUUGGAGCAAGAUUCUCAAGGAAGCAACAAGAUCCUAAGGAAAGGAGAAAGAGACUACCUACUGCAUUUCUGUCACUCGCUGAAAAGGACACUCUGUCAGAAAAUCUUCUAGCAAACUUCAAAGGGCAAAAUCACCCCUUGUUACUGAUAAAGCCCAGAGAGCUUCAGCAGCUAACAUUCCCUGGACAGGGCACAGCAAGGAUUUGAACCUAGGUCAGUCUGGCCAGAACACCCACAAGCUUUCCUUAACUCAGUGUGCUAUCUCCCCACGACUAGGUCACUACUGCUUUAUAAUCACCUUUGUAGCCACCAGUGGAUUUUGCUCAUCAGUAUUUUUCAGGCAAUUGAUACUUUAGAUAUUCAGCUGCAAGACGUAUGCAGUUUUCAUUGACAUCUUUUGGAGAAACUGACAAACCUGGACUUGACUUAAUGCCUUUGGAACCUUCCAAGAUGUUAUAUAACUCUAGAUAGAAGGCUGGGCCUCCAUGAUGUCAGGAAUGUUGCAUUCUUAUUUCCCCAUAGAUAAACCCAUUUGUCCACAAAGUCAAGGAGUCAGGCAGAGGCCCUUGCCAUGGGGCUUUUUAGGAUAAAGCAACAAGCCUGGACUUUGCUCUACAACAGGGUUUUGCAUAGGGAGUGGUAUGACCAGAUCCCUCAAGAAAGAAAGCUUAGAGACCAGGCCAGAGUCCACUGCAGUAGCCCAGUCAAGAGAGGAUGGUGACUUGGACUUGUAGUAGAGCCAGUUAGAAUGAAAGAAAUUGACACAUUCAGAAAUGGUUUUAGAGAUAGAGUCAAACUGGACCUGAUAAAGAACUAGAGAAGCGGAGUGAGGAUAAAGAGAAGAGCCAUGACUGACUCGGAAGAUUUUGUCUUGAAAAACUUGAGAACUCAAGACAGAGUGAAAUAAAAUCACAUGUGGGAAAAA